AUGCUCACAAGGGCGCAGUGGGUCGCUUUGUCAAAGGAAAAGCAAGGCGGAUCCACGAGCAGCAGCAAGAAGAAGGGGAAGCAGCGAUCGGCGAGAAAGAACUUUGCCGACUCGGACGAUGAGGCUGCACCACCGAGGAGAAAGUUUGACAUAAGCAAAGUGAGGUGUUAUAACUGUGGCCUCCUCGGUCACUUCAAGGCUGACUGCGAGGAAGCACCGAAGCAGAAGGCGCUCAUUGCCCAGCAAGGAGAUGAUGGUGACAUGAUGUUGAUGUGUAAACUGGUGGACGAGGAGGAUCCAGAUUCUCAAGCGUUGACUAAAGAAAUUGUCGAGCUUGCGGAAGAAAAAGUUUUCCAUCAUGAUCGUGAUUCGGAAACCUGUGUCGAAGCUACAGAUGCGGGGAGUGAUUCUAAAACUUAUGUCAGUGCUAUGGACGAUUGA
Molecule: ribosomal RNA, 441 nt
Filed under: Triticum aestivum (bread wheat)
Lineage: Eukaryota; Viridiplantae; Streptophyta; Magnoliopsida; Poales; Poaceae
Description: partial small subunit ribosomal RNA
Source: RNAcentral